Molecule: long non-coding RNA, 265 nt
Filed under: Brassica napus (rape)
Lineage: Eukaryota; Viridiplantae; Streptophyta; Magnoliopsida; Brassicales; Brassicaceae
Description: long non-coding RNA (BNAP_LNC001925)
Source: RNAcentral
UUGGAUCACAGAGACGAUAUUUUAUACUGGCGGGUACACGCAAUAAACCAUAGCCAUUGAGAUUACAAGAGAGGAAGGUUUACAGCCGUCAGAUAUCAUAAUUAUUUUUUUGGUUUUAAUUAUAAGCAAACGCGUGCGUACAGUGUUGUCUGAUUUAAUUAUGACUAAUUUGCAUUGAACUGCUGUCAUGGUCUCGAGAUAAAUCACUAAUUUCCUCUAAUCUCAAACUGAUACGAAAUCUUAAACAGUUACUGAAAAAGUCAGC